RNAcentral lists this long non-coding RNA (219 nucleotides) under Trifolium pratense (red clover). RNAcentral's name for it is "long non-coding RNA (TPRA_LNC006987)". The record is from RNAcentral. Lineage: Eukaryota; Viridiplantae; Streptophyta; Magnoliopsida; Fabales; Fabaceae.
AACCUUUUACUUCUGCUUCAGGAUUCAUGCUUCUUAUCUUGCAUGUUCAUGUCCUACCACUCACAACUUGUUGUUUACCCAUUGGACCCUAAUUCUUGGGAUCUCCAGUCUUUUAGGUUGGGUUACCAUUAUGAGCAAUUCAUAGGCAUUAGUCCUAUUUUUACAUUAGUAUUAUAGACUUUCUCUUUAGUCAGUCCUUUCGUCAAAGGAUCCGCUAAG